UCUGUCUGUCUGUCUGUCUGUCUGUGUGUCUGUCUGUGUGUCUGUCUGUACCUGUUUAGGUAAGAAGCAGGAUGUAUGGUUCGUGGUGGACCCCCAGACAGGAGAGAAACAGACCAGCCUCUCCACAUCAUCAUCUGACUCCAUUUGCCCCAAUGCACCACUGCUGUACAUAGGAAGAACAGAGUACAUGAUAACGAUGUAUGAUACGAAGACACAGGAGCUGAGGUGGAACGCAACAUACAACGACUACUCUGCCCCGCCGUACGAUGAGAAACAUGGCUACAAGAUGGCCCAUCUCGUCUCCAGUGG
Oncorhynchus keta (chum salmon) is the source of this 309-nucleotide long non-coding RNA. RefSeq lists it as uncharacterized. The record is from RefSeq and is a predicted model, not a curated record. NCBI's taxonomy places the organism in Eukaryota, Metazoa, Chordata, Actinopteri, Salmoniformes, Salmonidae. The transcript has 3 exons.